Molecule: long non-coding RNA, 164 nt
Organism: Amblyraja radiata (thorny skate)
Lineage: Eukaryota; Metazoa; Chordata; Chondrichthyes; Rajiformes; Rajidae
Exons: 3
Source: RefSeq, a predicted model, not a curated record
AAGACAUCAGAAGGAAACAAAACGGGCAAUACGGGCUGAAAAGAUGAAGUACGAAGGGAAGCUGGCCCGGAAUAUAAAGAAGGACAGUAAAAGCGUCUUUAGAUGUGUUAAGGGGAAAAAGAGAAGCAAAGUCAAAUGUGGAUCCCAGGAAGAGAUCGGAAGAG